GAUGAACGCUGGCGGCGUGCCUAAUACAUGCAAGUCGAGCGAAGCGGGGACGGGUGAGUAACACGUGGAUAACCUCCUAUAAGACUGGGAUAACUUCGGGAAACCGGAGCUAAACCGGAUCCUUAUAGAUGGAUCCGCGCUGCAUUAGCUAGUUGGUAAGGUAACGGCUUACCAAGGCAACGAUGCAUAGCCGACCUGAGAGGGUGAUGCGGCACACUGGAACUGAGAAACGGUCCCGACUCCUACGGGAGGCAGCAGGUGGGAAUCUUCCGCAAUGGGCGAAAGCCUGACCGAGCCACGCCGCGUGAGUGAAGAAGGUUUUCUGAUCGUAAAACCCUGUUAUUUGGGAAGCGGUACCUAAUCAAAAAGCCACGGCUAACUACGUGCCAGCAGCCGCGGUAAUAC
Molecule: ribosomal RNA, 405 nt
Filed under: uncultured bacterium
Lineage: Bacteria
Description: partial 16S ribosomal RNA
Rfam family: Bacterial small subunit ribosomal RNA
Source: RNAcentral